Molecule: RNA transcript, 3766 nt
Organism: Lycium barbarum (goji berry)
Lineage: Eukaryota; Viridiplantae; Streptophyta; Magnoliopsida; Solanales; Solanaceae
Exons: 5
Source: RefSeq, a predicted model, not a curated record
UUAAUUCAUAAAACGUGAUUUCAUAUAAGACUUAGGAUAUGCACCAAAAGAAUAUAUGCAAUUAUGGACAGAAUUAAUCAGAUUUCUUUGGUAUGAAUAGAGAGAUAAACAACUAUGAUGAGAGUUGCCGAAUUAACAAUAUUAGCGACAAAAGUUUAAAGAGGACGAACGUGUAAUUUCUCACAAGUCCCUGGCAUUUUGAUAAACUAUAGGUGACAUUAAUCAAUGAGAAUACUUAAUGUUUGCUGCAACAUUUAGAUAUGAUCACAGAAUAAAGCAGCAAACACCAACGUUUAAUAGCAUCUAAGUUAAUUGAGCACAAGACUAGUGCAAUACAUGCUUAAUAGAAUACUACUAUAAUCAAUUCAUUUGUCUUCCCAAUUGGUAUUGUACGGACGGUGAGCUGCCAUCUUCUCUCUGCCCUCUUUGCUUUCUUCCACCUGCUUCUUUCAAUCUUUAUGUUCAAGUUUUUUUUUCCAUUGAGAUUUGGCAAUAUUCCUCAAUUCCAGUGUUUUGAUUUUAGGUCCGUUUGCUCUUCCUGAUGCUCUCCGUCUUCCCUAUUUAGGGCCUUUGCAUUCACUUUUAGGAGAAAGGAAGGAAUUCCAAAGAUGAGAUGCAGGGAUGGAGCAGAGGAAGCUUCAUAUUCCAAAAUUCUACCCAUUUUUCGGACAAAUUGCAAUGUCUUUAUACUGCAGCAUAUGGAGCUGCAGUUCAAGCUGCAAUUUUAGUGGAGAAGGUGACCAAAAGGUUCAAGAUUUGCUGCUUCUUGAUACCACUUCUCUGAGUCUUGAUAUUGAGACUGUUGGUGGUGUGAUGACAAUCUAGACUCCAAGAAACACUACUAUCCCCACCAAAAAAGAGCAAAUUAUCCCGACCAAAAAAGAGCAAAUUUCCAGGUGUGCUCAUUCAGGUGUAGAAAAGUCUUAUAUGGAAAUUUGUCUUGAUAAUAGAAUUAGCAUAGAAGUUAAUAUGCCCAACAAUGCUUAUCUCUUACUAAAACAAGAUCCACUCUUAUUGUAGCAUAUGAAGCUGCAGUUCAAGCUGCUAUUUUAGUGGAGAAGGUGCCAAAAGGUUCAAGAUUUGCUGCUUCUUGAUAUCACUUUUCUAAGUCCUGAUAUUGAGACUGUUGGUGGUGUGAUGACAAUCUAGACUCCAAGAAACACUACUAUCCCGACCAAAAAAGAGCAAAUUUCCAGGUGUGCUCAUUCAGGUGUAUGAAGAGAAAGGAUAAUGACCGAGGACAACAACCUUCUUGGGGGAUGCUAUCAGCUUGCUAAACUAUAAUUUUCAAGAUCGAGUUGAAAAUGUUCUAAAAUAUAUAGAGGAUGGAGAUAUUCACAGAUGGAGUUUGCUUGAUAUUAGGGAAUUGAAUUGCAUCACUAAUCCUCAUAUGUAUGAACAGGUUCGCAGUUAUUUCCUGACCUUUGCUUUGUUGUGUGUGUGUAUGUGUGGGGAGGGGGAGGCUUGGUUGUCCAGGAUGGAAGACCGGAGAUAAUAAAGCAUGCAUUUGACGCUAUGUAGUUUGUCCAUUUAUUUGCACUCGAAUGGAGUUGAGGAGCCGAUCUAGAUAAGUCAUGUUGCAUUCCAUUUUUACAGAAUAUGUAAUCCCUUCUGAUCUUAGUGAAUUGAUUUGAAGUCGUUUUGCUCAAUUAUUACUAAUUGUCCAGUACUAUGUUAUUAAGUUGGUUCAUGAAUGAUACUUUGUGCUAUAUUAGAACAUAGUUCGGUUACCUCAGUUCCAGUAUAGUGCUGUUUGAGUGUAUUGAAGUUUGAAUGCGAUAGUGAUAAAGUGGUUGCUUCAUAAACUACUAUGUUAUUUGAAGAACUUGGAUAUGAAUUGAUUUGAUUAUGGGAAGAAAAUUUUGAAACACAUUCUUGUACGUGCAAAUUUUGUUAAAGAUAAUGGAAUAGACUUUGUGCAGUUACAUAACACACGUGAUAAGCCAAAGGCAAAAUCUUUGGCCAAUUCUCUCAUAUCCCUCCAGAAAGAAACAGAACAGGACUGGUGAGACCAAAUGAUAGUUACAUACCUUUUUUGUUAUUUUUCUUUUAAUUCACGUGUCAAGUUAAUGCUUAUCAGUGAUGUGCCUUAAACAACUCAGAUUUCCUAUUUUGGGAAUUGAAUUCACCUUUUUGUCCCUGUGUAAUGCCAUGUGAUGUAUGCCCAUUGUCCCUCUCGUAUGCAUAGUUAAUGAACUUUUGGCUUCAUUUCCAUUGAAAGAAUUAGUUGCAAAUUAAUUUUGAUAUAAUAUUUUAUGUAGGAUAGAUCAUAUACACUUUUGAUUUUUAUGUAUUCCUGGUGUGGGUAAAGUUACAUAUGCCAUUGAAGAACCCACAGCACUGAAAUUUGUGUGUAGUAUUUCGUAUUUGUUGCAGAAUGUUUUGCCAUUUGUACCACAAUUUGUUAUAUAGAAAACUAUUUAAAUGUGAAAAAAGCAUGCAUUCCUGGAAUGUGUAACAGUAUAACCUGCUUUUGUCUUUUGUUUUUCUACAUAGCAAUGUUUUCUGUGAGAGGCUUUUAGUAAGUUCAUUAGAAGUAAAAUGAAAAUGGGAGAGGGAGUAAGGUAGUAGCUUAAGAGAUGCAUAAGAUGUUGCAAGUCUCAAGAGAUGCAUAAGAUGUUACAAGUUGCAACUGCAAUACAGUUCUAUUUGACGCAAACAAUUGGCGUUAUGUCGUAACUUAUCUUUAUCAGGUUAAGAUUAAGGAAAAAAACAUAUUUUACCUGAGGAAUAUAGCUUCGAGGAAUUGUUGAAUAAGAUAUAACGUAUGGGGGAAAUUGGAAGGGGAAGAGGGGUUCACUGUACGUACAUUAUAAAUUUAUGAUUAAUUUUUCAUUCUGUUCUUUAUGUUUAGUAUUGUGUGUAUCUCUGAUUAUAUAAAUGUAACACAUAAAUAAUUAAGUUACAUUUGCUUGGGUUAUAUCCUGUAUUUCAAAAAGGCGAUGGCGCACAAAUUAGAUCUUUUCGUUGAAAUGGUAGUACUACUAUAUAGUCCUUUAGCACCUCACAUCACCUUCACCUUACUGAUGCUUUGCAUAUUAUUUAAUUGGUUUGUGGCUAACUAUUUGUGAUAUUGACAUAGGGCUGGCCUCACUCUGAUUUUUCGGUGAACGUGUGGUAGGGUACUCCUUUCCGUUUGGGUAGCAUGCAUUUUCAAGUACUGUUAUGUGCAUAAGAAAUGGAUUCUGCAUCAUUUAGCUCCAAAACACACAGCUCCUUCAAGGAAGUGGCUAAAUGGAAUAUAUGUGUGUUCACACAACUCUUUUAAUGGCCCGGAGUCUUUUGGAGCAUGCUAAGUCUUGAGUCUACCACUUUUUUAAAGCUAUAAUGGAGCACAAACACGGAUGUGUCAUGGACAAUGUUUCGAAUACAUAUGUUAGCACAUAAUAGGCACCUCCAGAUUGAUUACUCAAGCAAGUAUUUGUUGGACAAAUAGUUUAAUAUUCUAUUCCAGUAUUUUUUAGUUGUUGCACUACUUCAUUUGUAGAUUUCUCAAUCCCGACUUCACUGAUAUUUACAUGUUUUUCUCAGGUUCCUGGACAUGUCCCUAUGCUAUGGUUUUUUGUAAUGCAGAAGAUUGGCUACUGAGAUUGGAACUUCAUCCAGCACACUACAACUGUUAAAUUAGGAUUUCCUCAUGAUGUAUCUGUAGGAUACAUUUGGUGUAUUAUGUCUAUAAUAACAAGUAGUUAUAUUUUUGGUGUAUUACGUCUACAAUAACAAUGCUUGCAAAUGGUUUAACUAAACAGUACUUGUGCUUGUUGUA